AUGUUUCCUGAACACAAAAUGGCGACACGUGGUUAGCAUUCGUCGCCAACGAGAAAUUGGGGUCGGCCCGAAAGCUCUAGAAUGCACCCCUCUUCCUCCCCGGGGCCUUCCACCUCCGCGAGUUUUAUGACUUAAAAAAGCCCACAGGCUGGUCUGAAGAGGAAGACAAACAUAAAGAUGAAGUGCUUAAUUCAAGGUCACACAAUGUCGGGGAUGGACCUCCAGAUUUCCUUACUGACCUGCAUUAUCUUGUGGAUACCUGAGUGAAUUCCACACCACCCAUUUUAUAGAUGAAACCACUGAGACAUGGAGCAAUUGACUGAGUAGUCACUGCCCCACCCCUGCCUGGAGCCUCACACAUGACUCGCCUCCUCUCAGUGACCACAGGUGAGACGUGGUCUUGUAACACAGUGGUUAAGAAUGUGACUUUGGAGCCAGCCUGCUAGGGGCUGAAUUCUGACUCAGCCAUUUACUAACUGUGUGACCUUAGGUGGAGUCUCACUCUGUAGCCCAAGCUGGAGUGGCGUGAUCUCGACUCACUGCAACCUCCGCCUCCUGGGAUCAAGUGAUUCUCGUGCCUCAGCCUCCUGAGUAGCCGGGACUACAGGUCACAGAAUUUUCCACACUCCUUGACAGAGGUGCUUAACCCUUAUCCAUCAGCAUUCUCAGACAGCACCUCCGGUUAGGGACAGUAUCUGACCGUCCGACAUCCCUGCAGCCCCCAUGUGUCACACAGACUCAGCCUCAGGUAGAUGGUUUCCGUAGAUGGUGGCUUUCUUUGGACCCUUGACAUCAACCAGUUACUAUUUGGGCCACACAUAACAAAUAGAAGCAGAGCAAGCCCUGGAACUCCUGCCUGACAGUGACACGACGACAGAAACAUCUUACCAGUCAGAGGACCAUGAGAAAUAGAUUCAAGGAGCAUUCCACGUGCAAGUGAGUCUUGGCCCCAUCUGCCUUUGGAUUUUAGCCGUGAACUGGAAGGUAUUGGAAAGAAGACCCUCAGAAAUAGCUUAAUCAAAAUCCCUGCGUCUGAACCAAGUGCCUUAUUUCUCUGUGGGCCUCAAGCUUCGCUGACAUCUGUGGAGCACACUGUCCUAACAGGAGUGCUGUCUGAUUUCCCAACGCUCUGCAAAACAAACAGCCUGGAAGGGUGGCUGGUGGAAGGUGGUUUUUAGAGAGAGACUUGUAGAUAACAGGAAAGUGAAGGCUGUAAGGAAGGUUGUAAUUAAACAGCACAUGGAAACACAAUCA
RNAcentral lists this long non-coding RNA (1254 nucleotides) under Homo sapiens (human). RNAcentral's name for it is "PCBP1 antisense RNA 1". Lineage: Eukaryota; Metazoa; Chordata; Mammalia; Primates; Hominidae. The record is from RNAcentral.